AUCCAUGGAUGGAAGGAUAAGUUUUUCUUCAUAGCUGCCGACCAUCCUUGGGGCUUUGACUAGAACUAGACCACUCCUAAUCUUUCUCUGAAUAAAAAUGAUGUGGUUCUGGAAAAAGAUCAAAAACUGUACGAUCGAUUGUUCGACGUCCAAGUUCUCCCACAGCGGGAGCUCCUCGAGAAGCAAUCAUUGUAUGGCAUCAGGAUAAGCCUGACCAAUCAUUUAGGUAGAUUUCUUGUGUAGAUCUGUGAAGUUCUUCUUUCUUUCUUUUAUUGUAGACUAACACAUCUUUUGUUGUUGUCUUGUAGGCAUGAGGAUCUCGGUUGAAUCCCUCCAGCGUGCUGUUAAGAAAAAGUCAGGAUCCAGGCCUGGCGGUCCUUAUCGGGGUCUCCCAAAGAAGCUAAGAGAAGGAUCUCUUCCUCGGAUACUGAGGAGUAUGCAGCCACCAUCACCGCCCCGACCACCGCCAAAGCGAUCUUCAUCGCCGCCUCCUAUCAAAGUCAUCCCUACCGACAAUGAUGUUGUCAUCGUCGAGGCCCCGACCAAGCUCAUCAGCACAGUCCAAGCUUUGCCGACUCAAUUCAAGUUGGGUGGCAAUUGAGUAGCUGGUCGGGGAGACACCGACAAGGGGAAAGCUCCGAUGCCCCCACACCUUCACCACCGACUAUGGUCUCUCGAAUUCUUCUGGGGAGACCUUCAUCACCCUCAAAAUUUGCAUCAAGACAACCGACCAAGUGCGCUGAGAACAUCGACUUGUCGGAGAGUUGAUAAAAAUGGUGAUGUUGCCCAUCGAUUGGGAAGCUAGGAAGGCCCAUCCAGUUACGAAGAUCAUCUCGAGCUCCUAUGCAUUGCUGAUGUCGAUAAGUUUUUGACCUUUUUACUCAGUGUUGAGUCAUUUUUCUUUUACCGACUAGUUAUAGUUGUUGAGUAGGUGACUUAAUCGAUUUUUCUUCCUUUCUUAGUUGGCUCAUGACGCAAUAAUUUUGUAUGAGGGAUUGAUCAUUUUUGCAUGGCUCAACACCCAGCUUGAAGAUAAGGCCCAGACUGCUCAUGCUCGGACUGAAGUCGUCGGAGAACUUCUCCAUGUUGUCGAGCAGCAGGAUAAGAAAUACCAAGAGAAGAUCGCUCUAUUGGAGGCCAAAUUGAUGUCGGCUUAGCAAAAAAAGGAGAAGGAGGAAUCGAACAAGCUGAGGGCCGACUUCCAGAAGAAGUCCGAGUCAGCAAAGGUUGCCCUCAACAAGGAUAAGCGCAAAAGGCAGGAAGCUAAGAAAGCCAUCCGAGAGCUAAAAAAAAUUAUUGGCAAUAGAAACUCGAGCCCAGGAGGUAGCUUCUCAGACACUGAUCGAGUUUUGAGAAUCUUAAGAAUAUGAGGAUGAGCUUGCCGAAGGCUCGCAGAUGCCUAUCGACUCAAGUUUGAGGACUGUAAGAAGGCCAUCAGCCAAAUGCAACCCAAGCUAGACCUGAGCGAGCUACAACUAGAUAACCUCCAAGACGAGGAAGGCCCAGGGAGUGAUGAGGAAGCAGGCACCGGGGAAGUCCAUCCUCCAUCUUCUUAGACUUUUGUAUUCUUUUUUUUGUCUUGUACUUUUAUUUUCAUUCCUCAGCUUUGUAAUGAACUCCUCGUUUAAAUAAAAUGAUCUUCUUUUGCUUUUCAAUUCCAUCUCCCAUGUGUCCGUCUGUGAGUUUGCAUAUCUUCCUUUUUUGCUUGUCUCUGCAAAAUGACUAAGUAGUCAGAGAAACUGAGUCAGAUAAUCAAAAGGAAGUUGCAAACCAAGAAGAUUCACUUGAAAAAUUUUCUAGGUCAAGUAGUCGGUUUCUAUAGGAAACUUAGUCGAAUUUGAGAUGUAGUUGUAGAUCAUUCCGUCAAAUUAGAACUUAGUCAUAGAUCGUUCCAUUGAAUCGAAACUUAGUCGGUUAGAGAAAAUUUUUCUAUUCUAUUUCAGAUCAUUCGAUCCUUAGACAGUCGGAUGCAAACCGACUAACUACUUUAUUGUACGCUUUGGCCUGC
RNAcentral lists this long non-coding RNA (2008 nucleotides) under Elaeis guineensis (African oil palm). RNAcentral's name for it is "long non-coding RNA (EGUI_LNC040909)". Lineage: Eukaryota; Viridiplantae; Streptophyta; Magnoliopsida; Arecales; Arecaceae. The record is from RNAcentral.